GGGCACUGCCGAGGCCCGUGGGCGGGAAGCCGGGCGGCGGGCGGGACGUGGCCUCGGUCCCGGCCCUGCCCCGCCGCCACUGAGACUCCCAACGCCACCAACGUCGGAGUUGCAGUUUCUUUAGCUGUCAUAUGCAGACAAGUACUACCCACCUCGCCUUUGGAGUGAGCAGCACCACUGUGCCCAUCCCACUAUGAUUCAGGAGUCUCGCAGAAGACAUCAGAACACCUUUCUCUGAGUCACAGUCUGUAUCUUCUAGAAAAGGCUGUCCAUCUUCACCCCAAGCCCACUGGCUCCUGAGAUAAGACAUCCAGACCCAGUGCAGCUGGACCUGGCCCAGGAAGAUCAUGCGGUUUCUGGGAAGCACUGGAGAAGGAAAAGGCUGAAGAAAGGAAGACCGGAAAAGAAAUACAAGUCCUUCCGCCUUGGCAAAGAUGAUAGUACCGUUCCCUUCAGUGUUCUGGUUCUGCUCUAUUGGAUAAGUUCCGGUUUGACUAUGACUACGUGAAAAUGUGGAACCAGACCUUCACCCCACAUUCCAGCUCCAGCUCUACCACAGAGGAAGUGCAAUAUCACCUUCGUUAUUCAACACAGUAUGCUCCUCGUGAUACAACCAGAGUUCACAUCAGCAAUCUUGGCAGCUCUCACCACGCUGCUGACUCACGACUCUCUCAUGUCCCAAUUUCCUGUCCAUUGUUCUUUCCUCUACUUGGCCUGAUUUCUAAAGGCCUCUCUUGGUUGCAUUAAGCGGGAUUCCUGAGGGAUUCCCUUGGCAGUUACCUUGGGGGAGCUCUUAGGUUUGGGGCUGAUCCAUGUCCUCUAAAUGUAGGACUUCAAAGCUCCCAAAGAUAGGCAGACCCAGUGGGAAGCUGGGAAAUGCUCUCUGACCCCUCUGGGAGAGCUGGCAGUCAGAGGGCCUUUUGGAAAGAGUCAGACCUGAUCCAUAAGUCCCUGGAAAACACCCUGCCCAGGGAGCAAAUGCCACUGUGGCCUUGACUGAGGCUUCAGAAGAGUUUGGGAGCUGCAAUUCAUCCACACACGCAUUCAUUUUCAAGUAGUGGUUUGCAGUUCAGGCUUUGGAGCCACAUAAGCCUGGCUUCAAAGCCACUUUCCAGCUUUGUGACUUUAGGAAGUCUCUACAUUUUUAAACCUCCAUUUUUUUUCCUGUAAAACUGGGGUCUUCAUGGUACUUACUUCAUUGUGAUGUUGAGAGAAUGAAAAGAAAAAGGAUAAAUAAAUGGCUUAGCCUCGUGCCUUGGCACAUA
RNAcentral lists this long non-coding RNA (1265 nucleotides) under Pongo abelii (Sumatran orangutan). RNAcentral describes it as "lincRNA". Lineage: Eukaryota; Metazoa; Chordata; Mammalia; Primates; Hominidae. The record is from RNAcentral.